AUUUCUGAGUUUGAGGCCAGCCUUGUCUAUAAAGUGAGUUCCAGGACAGCCAGGGCUAUACAGAGAAACCCUGUCUCAAAAAAAAAAAAAAAAAAAAAAGACCAAAAAAACAAAAAAACCCACAGACAGAACAAAUAAUGUACUCCAAAUAAAAAAUAACGACAAGAUGCUAAGAGGAGCAAAGGCCCAAGGGAAGAUGGCAACUGGGCCCCAGCUGUCAUAAAGAGACCAAGAGGCCUGGUCUGAAGAAAGUCUAAGAGUGCUGGCCCUGGAGAAGACAUCCAGCCCAAAGCACGGCCCACACCUGCUCUGUGGGCUACAGCAGUCAGAGCUAUUCUCUGCACUCAGCUGCAAACACCUCCUGCCAUUCAUUCACCAGGUCACCUUCCCAAGUGCUCAGGCUGGUCUCCGAGGACAGAGACUAAGCAAGGGAAGCUGCAGAGACUGAUGUAUGGGGUGAGGAGAGUGGCUUGUAAAACAGAAGUCUCCAUAGGAAGCCACCGGGCUGCCUUAGCGUCUCACACUGAGAACAGGGCUCAGCUGGUGCUGACAGCACACAGGCUAUCUUCCCGCUGCCCACACCGUAAGAUGGGUGCUUUCUAAGCACGCUAUCACCGGGAAGGCCAGAUGGAUAUCUAGUACACCAGAAGACUGUACCAUCACUGCCACCACUGCCUUCACACAGGCCACAAUGAGGUCACCAGCACUAGAGGGCCACGUUCCUUGUCCAAAGGCUGUAAGACUUGACUAAGCCACAUUAAAUGUGUGGUCUACACAAAAGUACAAGUUCUCCGAGGUAACUAAGAUGUAAGAAGCAACAGGACCAGGAGCAAAAGCCAGGUGUGCAAAUCAAAUCCCACUGGGAGACAGAGGCAGGAGGAUGUCUGUGAAAGUUCCAGGUCAGCCUGGUCUAUAUAGACCUUCCAGGCCAGAACUACAAAGAGUGUCCCAAAAUAACAACAGCAGUCUGCAGCAAACUGACCAACACUGAAGACAAGGCCAGGUCACAGAGCCUCGGAGCUGGGCAUGGUGGGACACACACAGCCUCAGCCCUCUGAGAAUGGAGGCAGGACAUUGAGGGCUUGAGAUCAGUCUGGGCUGUAAUACAAGACCCAAUCUCAAGAAAACAACAAAAAGAAACCUGGUAGUUUGGGAUAAUUUUCCAGGAUCAGGGAGGCGACUUGAAAUUAGGGGGCUGGAGAGAUGGCUUCAUAGUUAAGAUCACUAUUGCUCUUGCAGAAGGCCUGGGUUCUGACCCCAGCACCCAUGUGACAGAUCAUAACAUAAACACCUGUGACUCCAGUCCCAGGGGAUCUGAUGCCCUCUGCUGGCCUCUGUGGGCACUGCACGCAUGUGGUGAACACUCGGACACAUAUCGUUCAGGUUGAGCCUCCACCCCAGACAAAUGGUGACAACUGGUGGGUGCCUGCAUUCCCCCAGAGUCUGUUGUUUGUAACGUGGGAGGGGAAGCGACAGAGCUCAAGAUGUUCACAUCUACCUGCAGGAGGUUCCGCUUGCUCCUGCCGUAAACUGCAAACACUACCUGAACACCAACCUUUGAAUGCUUUCAUCCCGGAUCUAGAUCAGCAGUUCUCAGCCUGUGGGUACUGAGCCCCUCAGGGUCACAGACCAGAUAUCCACUACAUUACGAUUCAUAACAGGACCAAAAUUUCAGUAUGAAGUAGCAACAAGAAUAAUGUUAUGGUCAGGGGUCACCACAGCACGAGGAACUGUGUUAAAGGGUCACAGCGUUAGGAAGGUUGAGAGCCAUGGUUCAAGAUCUUGUCCAGAACACCAAGGACGGGCAGACACACUGUGGUCACAAUCACCCCUAGCACUCAGACCAGCAUGCACAAACAUCACUUUCCAUUUAAAGAACCUGGGAUGUAGAGAGAACCUCCUGUGUAGUGUAUGGCUACAUCACCGACCAAUAAAAAUAAAUAGAUAAAUACCCCUAUGGCCAAUAGGAAAGUGCUGAAUAGAAGGGUAUCUAUCCCAUAAGCAGAAAGGAUUCUGGGAUAGAGCCAAGCACUGAAGAUUCAUCCCUGGACACAAAGGAGGAAAAUUCAUGAGAGCUGAGCAGAGGUGACCAGCCACAUGACAGAGUUUAGAUUAAACAGAAUAUUAAGUUAUGAGCUAGUCAAAGAGCGAGCCAAAGCUAUGGCCAAGGUGUCUGUAAACAUAACAAAGGUUCAGAGACACUAUUUCUGAGAACAGGGAUGCAGCUUACAAUAAACACCCCACAAUACUGGGGAUGGGUGGGGGUGGGGUGGGGGGUACGGAAACAGCCAAUUCAAAGGCUAGCAGAGGUGCCUUAAAAACAGGGUAAAUGGAAGAAUCUGAUGCUUACUGCCCCGUCCUAUUCCAUCUGGAAUACCAGGCAACUGAACAGAUGGUGCAGUGCCCUGCAAAAUUUGGCUCAACUUAGAAAACAGAAAAGCAGCAGCUACGAGAGCCACUCUGGGCUCCUUUACUGAGUCACCAGGUGUAGGAACAACGCUUCAAUAGCUGUGCAGACCCAAGAGGACAGAACCACAAGUGCCUUGUGGACCUACAUAAACUUCAGGAUCUGCACAUUUGCACCAAAUCCAGACCAGGGCCCUGACCUGCUCCAGAAGGACUGUCAGCAAAAUGCAGACUGCUGAAAAGCAUGGGUCAGAAAACCAGCGCUCUACAUCAGCCGCCCUGGAAGAACGGCGACAGGACAGACAGACUUAAAAGCUGCUGUGCUGUUUUUAAACUGCAAUGCCCAGCUGGUGUUUAGAGAGGCCCACGUGAGUGAGUAGCAUCUUACAGGAAGAGACACGUGUGACCUGAAGGGUGUGAAGGAGGGAAUGUGGGAGGUAGGGUAAGAAGCCACCUGGCCCCCUCCAUCCACCUACUGCUAGUGUUUUUGUGGAAGUUGUCUUGAAAGGUAAAGGUCAGCAAGGCUGGCAACAAAGAAACACAUCAAACCCGUCUCUUCCACAGCAGUUGGGACUCUCAGCUGCAGGCCCUGGCAGCAGGUCUAACCUGUGCUCCUUUCCAGUAAGUAGCAAGCAUAUCCAUUCAUUAGUCACUAAUCUAGCAAGCACACACACAGAAGGCACACACACAGAAGGCACACACACAGAAGGCACACACACAGAAAGCACACACACAGAAGGACUCCUUUACUGGAAGCAUAUUCAAUAUGCUUUCAGCUGCCAAAAGCCCACGAGGAAAAUGUUUAAAUACUACAGUCCAGGAACUAAUUUGUCUAUGUAAACUAUUCCACUAAUAAAGCAUCGUAAGCAG
Molecule: long non-coding RNA, 3276 nt
Filed under: Mus musculus (house mouse)
Lineage: Eukaryota; Metazoa; Chordata; Mammalia; Rodentia; Muridae
Description: long non-coding RNA chr5:113860160-113863436
Source: RNAcentral